RNAcentral lists this ribosomal RNA (478 nucleotides) under uncultured bacterium. Its description in RNAcentral is "partial 16S ribosomal RNA". It matches the Rfam family "Bacterial small subunit ribosomal RNA", at positions 28 to 523 of the family's 1533-position model. The record is from RNAcentral.
GACGAACGCUGGCGGCGUGCUUAACACAUGCAAGUCGAACGGUAAGGCCCUUCGGGGUACACGAGUGGCGAACGGGUGAGUAACACGUGGGUGAUCUGCCCUGCACUUCGGGAUAAGCCUGGGAAACUGGGUCUAAUACCGGAUAGGGCCACUGCCUGCAUGGGUGGUGGUGGAAAGCUUUUGCGGUGUGGGAUGGGCCCGCGGCCUAUCAGCUUGUUGGUGGGGUGAUGGCCUACCAAGGCGACGACGGGUAGCCGGCCUGAGAGGGUGACCGGCCACACUGGGACUGAGAUACGGCCCAGACUCCGACGGGAGGCAGGAGUGGGGAAUAUUGCACAAUGGGCGCAAGCCUGAUGCAGCGACGCCGCGUGAGGGAUGACGGCCUUCGGGUUGUAAACCUCUUUCAGCACCGACGAAGCGCAAGUGACGGUAGGUGCAGAAGAAGGACCGGCCAACUACGUGCCAGCAGCCGCCGUAA